This 346-nucleotide ribosomal RNA is filed under the name uncultured eukaryote. Its description in RNAcentral is "SSU rRNA". It matches the Rfam family "Eukaryotic small subunit ribosomal RNA", at positions 594 to 945 of the family's 1831-position model. The record is from RNAcentral.
AUAGCGUAUAUUAAAGUUGUUGUGGUUAAAAAGCUCGUAGUUGAACCUUGGGCCUGGCUGGCCGGUCCGCCUCACCGCGUGUACUGGUCCGGCCGGGCCUUUCCCUCUGUGGAACCCCAUGCCCUUCACUGGGUGUGGCGGGGAAACAGGACUUUUACUUUGAAAAAAUUAGAGUGCUCCAGGUAGGCCUAUGCUCGAAUACAUUAGCAUGGAAUAAUAGAAUAGGACGUGCGGUUCUAUUUUGUUGGUUUCUAGAGUCGCCGUAAUGAUUAAUAGGGAUAGUUGGGGGCAUUAGUAUUCAGUUGCUAGAGGUGAAAUUCUUGGAUUUACUGAAGACUAACUACUG